CCGACCCUACUAACACUAGGAAAAUCUUCUCACUGGGUCCCUCUCUCAUGCCCAGAGUCUCUCACCUGGAACACGACGCACGUCUCUUUCUGCCCCACCAUUAGCGUCCAAUGCAUCCCUCCCUGUUCUGCUGAAAUCGCUCUCUCACUGUCUGUCUCUUGCUGAUGAGUUCCGGUGAAUUUUGAGCGAAUAGAAGACGAAGAGGAGAUAAAACCCACACACACGCGCACCAGGUGAGGCCAGGUGAGAAAGAGAGUAUGAGAGGGGAGAUCCCCACACACACACACACACAAGAGCACAUUCGGGCCAGGUGGAAAUUAUGAAGGAGCAGCAGCUUCAUACGAAGUGGGAUGAUCGGUGGCGUCUCUCAGCAAAUACAGACCAUUUCCUUGACGUGGAAAAUCUUCUUCCUCUGUGAUUCACCCUUUUCAGCUGAAAUCCGAUGACUCUCUUCUUGGAGGAAGAGGUGAGAGAACGGAAGUUUAAUGCGAUCCCGCAGUAUGAGCUGCACCAUAUGGCGUUGAGAUAUUGUUUCCCAGAUCAAUUGACAAGAAGUAUCAGAGAUAUCGAGAGGAUGUUGACACUCUCCGUGACCGGACGACGGUGAAAUUAUUUGCAGAAAUAUUUCAGAGCGGUUGAUAAUAUAACAUCAACUCAUCUGCCUCGCCCAUCUUCCAAACGACACACAAUGAUAAGUUACUGAUUGAUGUCAGAGGAAGUGCUGUGUGAUGUGAUUUUAGCUGACUUAUGAGGAGAUUGAGGUGAAACUCCUGGACGCAGACUUGCUUCCUGAAUGCCAAUGAACUGAAAUUGAAUACUUGGACCGGAACUCUUUCUCACACAGGACUGAAAAUCGUCCAAGAGAGCUCCCCGUUGAGAGUUUAAGGAGAGACCUUUAGCCUAUUUGUGCAUUUGCUCUGGAAGAACUACGAUCUGACUGAGAACGACCCCUGAGAGAAACUUCUUAAUGCGGAUGAGUGUUGUCCGGCCUGGAGGGUAGACUAAUAGCCCCUUGGAUUGGGUCAUUCCAUGUCCAAUUAUAUUUAUAUGUGUGUAAAAUACCAUGUAUAUCAGGGUGAUAGGUAAAUAGAGAA
Long non-coding RNA from Lutzomyia longipalpis, 1094 nucleotides. RefSeq lists it as uncharacterized. Lineage: Eukaryota; Metazoa; Arthropoda; Insecta; Diptera; Psychodidae. The record is from RefSeq and is a predicted model, not a curated record. The transcript has 3 exons.